RNAcentral lists this ribosomal RNA (468 nucleotides) under uncultured bacterium. RNAcentral's name for it is "partial 16S ribosomal RNA". It matches the Rfam family "Bacterial small subunit ribosomal RNA", at positions 28 to 507 of the family's 1533-position model. The record is from RNAcentral.
GACGAACGCUGGCGGCGUGCUUAACACAUGCAAGUCGAACGGAAAGGCCCUGCUUUUGUGGGGUGCUCGAGUGGCGAACGGGUGAGUAACACGUGAGUAACCUGCCCUUGACUCUGGGAUAACGUCAGGAAACUGGGGCUAAUACCGGAUAUGAGCUCCUGCUGCAUGGUGGGGGUUGGAAAGUUUCGGCGGGUGGGGAUGGACUCGCGGCUUAUCAGCUUGCUGGUGGGGUAGUGGCUUACCAAGGCUCUGACGGGUAGCCGGCCUGAGAGGGUGGCCGGCCACAUUGGGACUGAGAUACGGCCCAGACUCCUACGGGAAGCAGCAGUGGGGAGUGUUGCACAAUGGGCGGAAGCCUGAUGCAGCAACGCCGCGUGCGGGAUGACGGCCUUCGGGUUGUAAACCGCUUUCGCCUGUGACGAAGCGUGAGUGACGGUAAUGGGUGAAGAAGCACCGGCUAACUACGUG